RNAcentral lists this long non-coding RNA (412 nucleotides) under Gossypium raimondii (Peruvian cotton). RNAcentral describes it as "long non-coding RNA (GRAI_LNC003587)". Lineage: Eukaryota; Viridiplantae; Streptophyta; Magnoliopsida; Malvales; Malvaceae. The record is from RNAcentral.
ACUAAGCGAGCACUAACCGCAUGCGAAAAUGAAGGAAAAUAAAUGGAUUAGGGAAAAAUCAAGUAGAAGAAAAAGAAGAGAAAAACGGAAAAACUCAGAGAAUUUUAGCAAGAGGAAAGGGAGAAGAAUAGACAGUAGAAUUAUUUUUUGGAAAAGAGAGUUAAAAUUCAGUUAUGGGAAAAAAAUAAAAUAAAAUAAAAUCCCGAUAACCCCCAAAAUCCCUUAAUCUUAUCCCCUAAUUCCCAUUACAGAUGCACUACUAAGAAUCCCCCUAUUACACAACUCUAUCCCAAAAUCUGAGCAAAAAAUAAUACCCUUGCCUGCAUAGGGAUUCGAACACAAGACCUCCACCAUAAAAACGCACCAUUUAAUCACCAGACCAGCAAGCUGAUUCUGAUGUAAUUUACCCAAC